Molecule: long non-coding RNA, 2233 nt
Organism: Homo sapiens (human)
Lineage: Eukaryota; Metazoa; Chordata; Mammalia; Primates; Hominidae
Exons: 2
Source: RefSeq, a predicted model, not a curated record
UGGGAAACAGAGCAAGAUCGUAUCUCAAAAAAAGAAGUACCUUCCUGAGCAGUAUGAGGAUUACAUGAGAUAAUCCACAGAAACUGUUUUGCUUGGUGCAGAGUAAACACCAAGGGUUUCUUCCCAUUAGUUUUAAAGGAGUUUUACUUAUUCAGCAUGUUAAGUGCCUUCUGCACUUCCGGCAUUGGAGGAGAGAGAGUGACAAAUAGAAUUGUGUCCCAGCCCUCUCAAAGCUUCCAAACUAGGGAGGAGAAACUAGUCUUUUAGAGUACAUUUCCAGAGAGAAGGGGGUGCUGUGAAAUGAUCUAUUUCACAACAGACUAAUUUUACAGGUGGGAAAACAAGCUCAGAGAGGUUCAGUGAUUUGCCUCAGGGCACACAGCUAGUUUGCUAGAGGAACCUAACUGGAGUUAGAAUUCUCCAGGGGAGGAGUUUCUCCAGCGGAUCUUGCCUGCCAUGGUUUUCCAGAUUCCAGGAUCAAGGUGAGAACAGAAACGCAUGAGAAGCUCAGGGAAGAUGGCCACGUGUUUCUCAGCUCCACAGGGAAACCUUGAGCAGUGGAAUUUAACCAAUGGGUUUGGGUUAGGCGCCCUUCCCCUACCCUAGUCCAACCUGCAGCAAGGAAACCAAGGCUGAUUCCAGCCCGGGCUUUUUUCUCCUGGGAAGGUCCUCCUUGGGUCUGGACAGGCUCGGAGGUGACCUGCCUAGAGGUGGGCGAUCUAGCCGCACCUUUCUAGGACUACAGAGCUUCAGUUUAACUUUGCAGGAGUUUGUUAGGAAUGAACUAGACACGCACCCUCCGCCCAGCUCCGUCCCGCCUCCUGCAAGCCUGAACUCUUAGAAUAAUUAACCACUGACUGCAGGAUCCUGGCCUCUGCCAGGGCCCGCCCUACCCAACCUGUGUGUUCGAGGCAGGAACUUGCAACACUGAGCAACAAGAAUGAUGAAAUUUUUAUCCACUUGGCAAAUAUUUGCUCGGCGCCCCCUCUGUGUCAGGAACAGUUGGAAAUGCGUUUCCCAACCUUGCCUAACCAGCUGCCCUGGAAUGUUUUCCACUUCCUGGGUCAUUGCCUCCAGAGAUCAAAGCCCCCAUCCACACAGUGGGCUGAAUAUGGAUCCAUGCAGCGAUCUGGUCCUGGUGCUGUGGAAUCAGCUUUGCACAAGGCCCCAGAAGGUCUGCGUUCCAGAGCCUUCCUGUUGGGGCCUCAGUCUUCUCAUCUGAAAAAUGGGAGCAAACUCAGUUCUGCCAUGCCCAGUGUGGGUGUGAUGUCACAUCAGAUGGAGUCUCGCUCUGUCACCCAGGCUGAAGUGCAAUGGCAAGAUCUCAGCUCACUGCAACCUCCACCUCCCAGUUUCAAGCGAUUCUUGUGCCUCAGCCUCUGGAGUAGCUGGGAUUACAGGUGCCCACCACCACACCUGGCUGAUUUUUGUAUUUUUAGUAGAGACGGGGUUUCACCAUGUUGGUCAGGCUGGUCUCAAACUCCUGACCUCAAGUGUUCUGCCUGCCUUGGCCUCUCAAAGUGCUGGGAUUACAGGCCUGAGCCACUGUGCCCGACCACCAUGUUGUAUUGUUACUGUUACUGCUCUCCUGUCCUGCACCUGCCCUGCCUGCCUCCCUUGGCUGGGCUGUAAAACCUUGAGGGGUAACGUAUCUUAUUCAUGUUUCUUGUCCUGGUACCAGCACAGCAACUGACAUGGAUGGGGGGUUAGGGGCUCAGAAAGCAUUGCCCUAAAAUAUGGCGCUCUGACAUGAAGCAGCCUCAAGGUCUAUCUGACCUCCCUGCCUCCUUCUCUGAAUCCUCUGUCUCUCUCAAAGUGCAGGAUGACGCUGUUCUCUGAAGUUUCUUUAUCUGCCUAGAAACGGGACCUGCCAAAGGGGAACACAAUUACCUUCCCUGGAAUAUCAUUAGCUAGAGGUUAAAACUCAUAUCCUAGAGGAUAUGAGACUGAACAUUAAACACCACACCUACAGCCCAGAUAAACUUCAUCCCAAACCAUUAUCUGCUCUCUUUCCCUUUCAAUGUCCAAAGAAAUUAUUAAUUAUCAUCUGGACGCUGGACUCAUUCAUUUCCCCCCUAAAAACCAUUGACUGUCCUUCAAAUUGCCACGUGUCCCCCAUCUCUCCUUCCCCCGUGAAGAAGGGCGCAUGCACCUGUACCCCACUGGGUUAUUGGGUAACUUCUGUGAUUCCCUCAUGCUCUGCACGUUGAAAUAAAUUUUGUCUUUUCUCCAA